RNAcentral lists this ribosomal RNA (482 nucleotides) under uncultured bacterium. RNAcentral's name for it is "partial 16S ribosomal RNA". It matches the Rfam family "Bacterial small subunit ribosomal RNA", at positions 30 to 507 of the family's 1533-position model. The record is from RNAcentral.
AUUGAACGCUGGCGGCAUGCUUUACACAUGCAAGUCGAACGGUAACAGGCCGCAAGGUGCUGACGAGUGGCGAACGGGUGAGUAAUGCAUCGGAACGUGCCCAGUCGUGGGGGAUAACUACUCGAAAGAGUAGCUAAUACCGCAUACGAUCUAUGGAUGAAAGCGGGGGACCGUAAGGCCUCGCGCGAUUGGAGCGGCCGAUGUCAGAUUAGGUAGUUGGUGGGGUAAAGGCUCACCAAGCCAACGAUCUGUAGCUGGUCUGAGAGGACGACCAGCCACACUGGGACUGAGACACGGCCCAGACUCCUACGGGAGGCAGCAGUGGGGAAUUUUGGACAAUGGGCGCAAGCCUGAUCCAGCAAUGCCGCGUGCAGGAAGAAGGCCUUCGGGUUGUAAACUGCUUUUGUACGGAACGAAACGGCUCUGGUUAAUACCCGGGGCUAAUGACGGUACCGUAAGAAUAAGCACCGGCUAACUGCGUG